CCUACUUAACUCAGUGGUUAGAGUAUUGCUU
This 31-nucleotide transfer RNA is filed under the name Valerianella locusta (common cornsalad). RNAcentral's name for it is "partial tRNA-Met". Lineage: Eukaryota; Viridiplantae; Streptophyta; Magnoliopsida; Dipsacales; Caprifoliaceae. The record is from RNAcentral.